This 384-nucleotide ribosomal RNA is filed under the name uncultured bacterium. RNAcentral's name for it is "bacterial SSU rRNA". It matches the Rfam family "Bacterial small subunit ribosomal RNA", at positions 338 to 719 of the family's 1533-position model. The record is from RNAcentral.
CCUACGGGAGGCAGCAGUAAGGAAUAUUGGACAAUGCUCGCAAGAGUGAUCCAGCCAUGCCGCGUGCAGGAAGAAUGCCCUAUGGGUAGUAAACUGCUUUUGAACUAGAGAAAACCCCAGUACGUGUACUGGGCUGAUAGUAUAGUUAGAAUAAGCAUCGGCUAACUUCGUGCCAGCAGCCGCGGUAAGACGAAGGAUGCAAGCGUUAUCCGGAUUCAUUGGGUUUAAAGGGAGCGUAGGUGGACUGAUAAGUCAGUGGUGAAAUCUCCGAGCUUAACUCGGAAAUUGCCAUUGAUACUGUUGGUCUUGAGUACAGUUGCUGUGGGCGGAAUAUGACAUGUAGUGGUGAAAUACAUAGAGAUGUCAUAGAACACCGAUUGNGAG